GAUGAACGCUGGCGGCGUGCCUAAUACAUGCAAGUCGAGCGAACAGACGAGGAGCUUGCUCCUCUGACGUUAGCGGCGGACGGGUGAGUAACACGUGGAUAACCUACCUAUAAGACUGGGAUAACUUCGGGAAACCGGAGCUAAUACCGGAUAAUAUCUUGAACCGCAUGGUUCAAUAGUGAAAGACGGUUUUGCUGUCACUUAUAGAUGGAUCCGCGCCGCAUUAGCUAGUUGGUAAGGUAACGGCUUACCAAGGCAACGAUGCGUAGCCGACCUGAGAGGGUGGUCGGCCACACUGGAACUGAGACACGGACCAGACGCCUACGGGAGGCAGCAGUAGGGAAUCUUCCGCAAUAGGCGGAAGCCUGACGGAGCAACGCCGCGUGAGUGAUGAAGGUCUUCGGAUCGUAAAGCUCUGUUAUGAGGGAAGAACAAAUGUGUAAGUAACUAUGCACGUCUUGACGGUACCUAGUCAGAAAGCCACGGCUAACUACGUG
This 497-nucleotide ribosomal RNA is filed under the name uncultured bacterium. Its description in RNAcentral is "partial 16S ribosomal RNA". It matches the Rfam family "Bacterial small subunit ribosomal RNA", at positions 28 to 507 of the family's 1533-position model. The record is from RNAcentral.